This 402-nucleotide ribosomal RNA is filed under the name uncultured bacterium. Its description in RNAcentral is "bacterial SSU rRNA". It matches the Rfam family "Bacterial small subunit ribosomal RNA", at positions 355 to 774 of the family's 1533-position model. The record is from RNAcentral.
UCGGGAAUUUUGGGCAAUGGGCGAAAGCCUGACCCAGCAACGCCGCGUGAGGGAUGAAGUAUUUCGGUAUGUAAACCUCGAAAGAAUGGGAAGAAUAAGUGACGGUACCAUUUAUAAGCUCCGGCUAACUACGUGCCAGCAGCCGCGGUAAUACGUAGGGAGCAAGCGUUGUUCGGAUUUACUGGGCGUAACGGGCGCGUAGGCGGCGCGGUAAGUCACUUGUGAAAUCUCUGAGCUUAACUCAGAACGGCCAAGUGAUACUGCUGCGCUAGAGUGCGGAAGAGGCAACCGGAAUUCUGGGUGUAGCGGUGAAAUGCGUAGAUAUCAAGAGGAACACCUGAGGCGAAGGCGGGUUGCUGGGCCGACACUGACGCUGAUGCGCGAAAGCCAGGGGAGCAAACG